This 253-nucleotide ribosomal RNA is filed under the name uncultured bacterium. RNAcentral's name for it is "partial 16S ribosomal RNA". It matches the Rfam family "Bacterial small subunit ribosomal RNA", at positions 524 to 776 of the family's 1533-position model. The record is from RNAcentral.
UACAGAGGUUGCAAGCGUUAAUCGGAUUUACUGGGCGUAAAGCGUGUGUAGGUGGUUCGACAAGUCGGUUGUGAAAUCCCCGGGCUCAACCUGGGAAUUGCUUCCGAGACUGUCAGACUAGAGAUCGGUAGAGGGCGGUGGAAUUUCCGGUGUAGCGGUGAAAUGCGUAGAUAUCGGAAGGAACACCAAUGGCGAAGGCAGCCGCCUGGGCCUGAUCUGACACUGAGACACGAAAGCGUGGGGAUCAAACAGG